UAAGAAUAUUCCGCAAUGGACGAAAGUCUGACGGAGCGACGCCGCGUGGAUGACGAAGGCCGAAAGGUUGUAAAAUCCUUUUGCUGAUGAAGAAUAAGCGUGGUAGGGAAUGACCGCGUGAUGACAUUAGUCGGUGAAUAAGCCCCGGCUAACUACGUGCCAGCAGCCGCGGUAACACGUAGGGGGCAAGCGUUGUUCGGAAUUAUUGGGCGUAAAGGGCAUGUAGGCGGUUUGGUAAGCCUGAUGUGAAAUCCUGCAGCGUAACUGUGGAAUUGCAUUGGGUACUGCCGAACUUGAAUCACUGAGGGGAAACUAGAAUUCCAGGUGUAGGGGUGGAAUCUGUAGAUAUCUGGAAGAAUACCGGUGGCGAAGGCGGGUUUCUAGCAGAUGAUUGACGCUGAGGUGCGAAAGUGCGGGGAGCGAAC
This 425-nucleotide ribosomal RNA is filed under the name uncultured bacterium. RNAcentral describes it as "bacterial SSU rRNA". It matches the Rfam family "Bacterial small subunit ribosomal RNA", at positions 356 to 773 of the family's 1533-position model. The record is from RNAcentral.